CUCUUGGGUUCUGUUGGUGACUUGGUUCAGAUGACUUUGGGUCUCAGAUGAUUUUUGGGUCUCAGAUGACUUUGUGGUUCCGAAUUCAAGCCGAAGCUUUGAACCUGUGCUCCGAGAUGCACAACCAGCCAGUCGUGUUUGCAUCAUUUGCAUCAUAGCAUGUUUAUUUUCGAAAAAUAAUGCAAAAAAAAAGAAUGCGAAAAGAAAAGAAAAAAGAAAA
This 220-nucleotide long non-coding RNA is filed under the name Lathyrus oleraceus (garden pea). RNAcentral describes it as "Pisum sativum (pea) long non-coding RNA (PSAT_LNC031381)". Lineage: Eukaryota; Viridiplantae; Streptophyta; Magnoliopsida; Fabales; Fabaceae. The record is from RNAcentral.